This 495-nucleotide ribosomal RNA is filed under the name uncultured bacterium. Its description in RNAcentral is "partial 16S ribosomal RNA". It matches the Rfam family "Bacterial small subunit ribosomal RNA", at positions 28 to 507 of the family's 1533-position model. The record is from RNAcentral.
GACGAACGCUGGCGGCGUGCCUAAUACAUGCAAGUAGAACGCUGAAGGAGGAGCUUGCUUCUCUGGAUGAGUUGCGAACGGGUGAGUAACGCGUAGGUAACCUGCCUGGUAGCGGGGGAUAACUAUUGGAAACGAUAGCUAAUACCGCAUAAGAGUAGAUGUCGCAUGACAUUUGCUUAAAAGGUGCAAUUGCAUCACUACCAGAUGGACCUGCGUUGUAUUAGCUAGUUGGUGAGGUAACGGCUCACCAAGGCAACGAUACAUAGCCGACCUGAGAGGGUGAUCGGCCACACUGGGACUGAGACACGGCCCAGACUCCUACGGGAGGCAGCAGUAGGGAAUCUUCGGCAAUGGACGGAAGUCUGAACGAGCAACGCCGCGGGAGUGAAGAAGGUUUUCGGAUCGUAAAGCUCUGUUGUAAGAGAAGAACGAGUGUGAGAGUGGAAAGUUCACACUGUGACGGUAGCUUACCAGAAAGGGACGGCUAACUACGUG